RNAcentral lists this ribosomal RNA (534 nucleotides) under uncultured bacterium. Its description in RNAcentral is "bacterial SSU rRNA". It matches the Rfam family "Bacterial small subunit ribosomal RNA", at positions 355 to 896 of the family's 1533-position model. The record is from RNAcentral.
UGGGGAAUAUUGCACAAUGGGCGCAAGCCUGAUGCAGCGACGCCGCGUGGGGGAUGACGGCCUUCGGGUUGUAAACUCCUUUCGCCAGGGACGAAGCGUUUUGUGACGGUACCUGGAGAAGAAGCACCGGCUAACUACGUGCCAGCAGCCGCGGUAAUACGUAGGGUGCAAGCGUUGUCCGGAAUUACUGGGCGUAAAUAAAGAGCUCGUAGGUGGUUUGUCACGUCGUCUGUGAAAUUCCACAGCUUAACUGUGGGCGUGCAGGCGAUACGGGCUGACUUGAGUACUGUAGGGGUAACUGGAAUUCCUGGUGUAGCGGUGAAAUGCGCAGAUAUCAGGAGGAACACCGAUGGCGAAGGCAGGUUACUGGGCAGUUACUGACGCUGAGGAGCGAAAGCAUGGGUAGCAAACAGGAUUAGAUACCCUGGUAGUCCAUGCCGUAAACGGUGGGCGCUAGGUGUAGGGGCCUUUUGGGGUUUCUGUGCCGUAGCUACGCAUUAAGCGCCCCGCCUGGGGAGUACGGCCGCAAGGCUA